This 101-nucleotide ribosomal RNA is filed under the name uncultured Agrobacterium sp. RNAcentral's name for it is "partial 16S ribosomal RNA". Lineage: Bacteria; Pseudomonadati; Pseudomonadota; Alphaproteobacteria; Hyphomicrobiales; Rhizobiaceae. The record is from RNAcentral.
CAUGCCGCGUGAAGGAUGAAAGGCCUUGGGGGUAGGAAAGCUCUUUCCGCGGUAAAAAAAAAUGAGGGGGUCCGGGGAAAAAAAGGGGGCUAACUCUGUGC